UGGGGAAUACUGGACAAUGGGCGAAAGCCUGAUCCAGCCAUGCCGCGUGUGUGAAGAAGGCCUUUUGGUUGUAAAGCACUUUAAGUGGGGAGGAAAAGCUUAUGGUUAAUACCCAUAAGCCCUGACGUUACCCACAGAAUAAGCACCGGCUAACUCUGUGCCAGCAGCCGCGGUAAUACAGAGGGUGCAAGCGUUAAUCGGAAUUACUGGGCGUAAAGCGCGCGUAGGUGGUUAUUUAAGUCAGAUGUGAAAGCCCCGGGCUUAACCUGGGAACUGCAUCUGAUACUGGAUAACUAGAGUAGGUGAGAGGGGAGUAGAAUUCCAGGUGUAGCGGUGAAAUGCGUAGAGAUCUGGAGGAAUACCGAUGGCGAAGGCAGCUCCCUGGCAUCAUACUGACACUGAGGUGCGAAAGCGUGGGUAGCAAACAGGAUUAGAUACCCUGGUAGUCCACGCCGUAAACGAUGUCUACCAGUCGUUGGGUCUUUUAAAGACUUAGUGACGCAGUUAACGCAAUAAGUAGACCGCCUGGGGAGUACGGCCGCAAGGUUA
RNAcentral lists this ribosomal RNA (549 nucleotides) under uncultured bacterium. Its description in RNAcentral is "bacterial SSU rRNA". It matches the Rfam family "Bacterial small subunit ribosomal RNA", at positions 355 to 896 of the family's 1533-position model. The record is from RNAcentral.